CUCAGACCUUGUGUCUUCUGGUAGAACAUUCAAGAACUGAUGGUCAUCUCCAUGGCAACAUGAGGAUUCAAAUGAGAAAGACAUCUGGAAAUCAUGUAGAUGGGGUUCAAGAAUUUCUAACCAUACAACCCUGGAUGCUAUCUCCAUUCUCACAUUAAUGAAGGAAAUUCCCA
RNAcentral lists this long non-coding RNA (173 nucleotides) under Monodelphis domestica (gray short-tailed opossum). RNAcentral's name for it is "lncRNA (ENSMODG00000034814.2)". Lineage: Eukaryota; Metazoa; Chordata; Mammalia; Didelphimorphia; Didelphidae. The record is from RNAcentral.